This 253-nucleotide ribosomal RNA is filed under the name uncultured bacterium. RNAcentral describes it as "partial 16S ribosomal RNA". It matches the Rfam family "Bacterial small subunit ribosomal RNA", at positions 524 to 776 of the family's 1533-position model. The record is from RNAcentral.
UACGUAGGGGGCUAGCGUUGUCCGGAAUCAUUGGGCGUAAAGCGCGUGUAGGCGGUCCGGUAAGUCCGCUGUGAAAGUCGAGGGCUCAACCCUCGAAUGCCGGUGGAUACUGUCGGGCUAGAGUACGGAAGAGGCGAGUGGAAUUCCCGGUGUAGCGGUGAAAUGCGCAGAUAUCGGGAGGAACGCCAAUGGCGAAGGCAGCUCGCUGGGACGGUACUGACGCUGAGGCGCGAAAGCGUGGGGAGCAAACAGG